Molecule: non-coding RNA, 106 nt
Filed under: Bacillus smithii
Lineage: Bacteria; Bacillati; Bacillota; Bacilli; Caryophanales; Bacillaceae
Description: SAM riboswitch (S box leader)
Rfam family: SAM riboswitch aptamer (S box leader)
About the family: The SAM riboswitch is found upstream of a number of genes which code for proteins involved in methionine or cysteine biosynthesis in Gram-positive bacteria. The SAM riboswitch acts at the level of transcription termination control.
Source: RNAcentral
UCUUAUCAAGAGCAGGUGGAGGGACGAGCCCUAUGAAGCCCGGCAACCGACUUAACAAUCGUUAAGCACGGUGCUAAUUCUUGCAGCGAUAUGCUGAGAGAUAAGA